RNAcentral lists this unclassified non-coding RNA (955 nucleotides) under Hevea brasiliensis (rubber tree). The record is from RNAcentral. Lineage: Eukaryota; Viridiplantae; Streptophyta; Magnoliopsida; Malpighiales; Euphorbiaceae.
UCUUUUUUUCCUUUUAUUAUUAUUCUCCUUAAUUUUUUCCCUCUCUCCAAUUCAUCGCCGAUUUAUUCGACCUGAUAUGCCGGCGCCGCCGAUUUAGACUCCGAGAAUCUCUCUCUCAGAUCUGUGCUGUCCUUUUCAGCCUCACAACCUGUCUGACACUGAGAUAUGGGUGUCUGAAGGGCUGGUGUCUUUGUUAAUGCAAAAGGACUGGGAGCUACACCAACACUAUAUUUUUUGGUGCCCAGAUGAUUAGAACUGAUGUUAUUGGCCGUGGAAGGAGGAGGGUUCUUCUCUUCUUCAGCUUCUGGGUAUAGCAAGGGCCUGACCCUUCUUCUCUUGGGUCAGAAGCACGAAGAUAAACCCAUGAGAGUUUCUCCGUGGAAUCAGUACCAGUUGGUGGAUAACGAACCAGACCCUAACCUCCAGCUGGCUUCCUUGAAGAACCGGCUUUCCCGCGGGUGCGCUUCCUUUGUUUGCUUUGGUCGCGCUUCCACAGGGCUUGAUUCUCCAUCGCCUCUCAAAGUAGGUCCUGCCCAACAGCAGGAUGUCUUGCCAGAUCCUCCUGUCACUGACAAGGGCAAAGACCAUACAACUGAAGUUCAAGGUGAUAAUUAUGCAAGAAGAGUUGCUCUUAAGAGUAGCUUGAAGAAGCCAUCAAGUAGCAUUCCAGUUCCCGUUGAGGAUUCUAAUCAACACAAUGCAUUGGGUGAAAAAGGCAGUGAUGUACCUGGUCUUACAGAAAGGAGAAAAGUGCAGUGGACGGAUGUUUGUGGGAGUGAGCUUGUUGAAAUCAGGGAAUUUGAGCCAAGUGAAACAGCUUAUUCAGAUGAUGAAUUUGAGAAUGGAAAUGAAAGAAGUUGUUCAUGUGUGAUUAUGUGAUCCAUUUUAUUAGCAAAACAUUUUAUGGGCUCAAUUUUUUCUUGAAAGAGAUGACGUAACAAGCAAAUUGCUACUA